This 119-nucleotide ribosomal RNA is filed under the name Triticum aestivum (bread wheat). RNAcentral also lists the same sequence under 1 other name. The record is from RNAcentral. Lineage: Eukaryota; Viridiplantae; Streptophyta; Magnoliopsida; Poales; Poaceae.
CGAUGUGAUCAUACCAGCACUAAAGCACCGGAUCCCAUCAAAACUCCAAAGUUAAGCAUGCUUGGGCGAGAGUAGUACUAGGAUGGGUGACCUCCUGGGAAGUCCUCGUGUUGCAUUCC